AAAUACUCAAUAGUCUCAAAUGGACAUUGAAUGUCCAUUGUAUUCAUUCUAAAACGUUUUAUAGACUGUUUAUAUGCUACUGAUUUUAUUUAAAAAUAUUGAACGUUUAUAUUACAUGCAUUGGGUAUUGUAGGAAGGAGUGAGUGUAGGGUACAAAAAUUGUUAGAGAAUUUACAGUGCAGAAUUAUAAGACAACUGUAUGCUUUUCCUUUUUUGUCUGCAUGAGUAUGUUGUUGAACAUUUGAAAGCAAAAUAUUUUUUACUUUACCUUUUA
Molecule: non-coding RNA, 274 nt
Organism: Paramuricea clavata
Lineage: Eukaryota; Metazoa; Cnidaria; Anthozoa; Malacalcyonacea; Plexauridae
Source: the annotation of a GenBank genome assembly